This 252-nucleotide ribosomal RNA is filed under the name uncultured bacterium. RNAcentral's name for it is "partial 16S ribosomal RNA". It matches the Rfam family "Bacterial small subunit ribosomal RNA", at positions 527 to 779 of the family's 1533-position model. The record is from RNAcentral.
CGGAGGUGCAAGCGUUAUCCGGAUUCACUGGGUUUAAAGGGUGCGUAGGUGGGCAGGUAAGUCAGUGGUGAAAUCUCCGGGCUCAACCCGGAAACUGCCAUUGAUACUAUCAGUCUUGAAUAUCGUGGAGGUAAGCGGAAUAUGUCAUGUAGCGGUGAAAUGCUUAGAUAUGACAUAGAACACCAAUUGCGAAGGCAGCUUACUACCCGAAUAUUGACACUGAGGCACGAAAGCGUGGGAUCAAACAGGAUU